GUUUUAAUAAUUUAAUAAUAAAAUAUUGGUCUUGUAAACCAAAAAUAAGCCUUGUCUUUUAAAACU
RNAcentral lists this transfer RNA (66 nucleotides) under Agriotes sp. GTI-106. RNAcentral's name for it is "tRNA-Thr". It matches the Rfam family "tRNA". From Rfam's summary of the family: Transfer RNA (tRNA) molecules are approximately 80 nucleotides in length. The record is from RNAcentral. Lineage: Eukaryota; Metazoa; Arthropoda; Insecta; Coleoptera; Elateridae.